UGAAACCGUGUACGUACAAGCAGUGGGAGCCUCUUAAUGGGGUGACUGCGUACCUUUUGUAUAAUGGGUCAGCGACUUAUAUUCUGUAGCAAGGUUAACCGAAUAGGGGAGCCGAAGGGAAACCGAGUCUUAACUGGGCGUUAAGUUGCAGGGUAUAGACCCGAAACCCGGUGAUCUAGCCAUGGGCAGGUUGAAGGUUGGGUAACACUAACUGGAGGACCGAACCGACUAAUGUUGAAAAAUUAGCGGAUGACUUGUGGCUGGGGGUGAAAGGCCAAUCAAACCGGGAGAUAGCUGGUUCUCCCCGAAAGCUAUUUAGGUAGCGCCUCGUGAAUUCAUCUCCGGGGGUAGAGCACUGUUUCGGCAAGGGGGUCAUCCCGACUUACCAACCCGAUGCAAACUGCGAAUACCGGAGAAUGUUAUCACGGGAGACACACGGCGGGUGCUAACGUCCGUCGUGAAGAGGGAAACAACCCAGACCGCCAGCUAAGGUCCCAAAGUCAUGGUUAAGUGGGAAACGAUGUGGGAAGGCCCAGACAGCCAGGAUGUUGGCUUAGAAGCAGCCAUCAUUUAAAGAAAGCGUAAUAGCUCACUGGUCGAGUCGGCCUGCGCGGAAGAUGUAACGGGGCUAAACCAUGCACCGAAGCUGCGGCAGCGACGCUUAUGCGUUGUUGGGUAGGGGAGCGUUCUGUAAGCCUGUGAAGGUGUGCUGUGAGGCAUGCUGGAGGUAUCAGAAGUGCGAAUGCUGACAUAAGUAACGAUAAAGCGGGUGAAAAGCCCGCUCGCCGGAAGACCAAGGGUUCCUGUCCAACGUUAAUCGGGGCAGGGUGAGUCGACCCCUAAGGCGAGGCCGAAAGGCGUAGUCGAUGGGAAACAGGUUAAUAUUCCUGUACUUGGUGUUACUGCGAAGGGGGGACGGAGAAGGCUAUGUUGGCCGGGCGACGGUUGUCCCGGUUUAAGCGUGUAGGCUGGUUUUCCAGGCAAAUCCGGAAAACCAAGGCUGAGGCGUGAUGACGAGGCACUACGGUGCUGAAGCAACAAAUGCCCUGCUUCCAGGAAAAGCCUCUAAGCAUCAGGUAACAUCAAAUCGUACCCCAAACCGACACAGGUGGUCAGGUAGAGAAUACCAAGGCGCUUGAGAGAACUCGGGUGAAGGAACUAGGCAAAAUGGUGCCGUAACUUCGGGAGAAGGCACGCUGAUAUGUAGGUGAAGCGACUAGCUCGUGGAGCUGAAAUCAGUCGAAGAUACCAGCUGGCUGCAACUGUUUAUUAAAAACACAGCACUGUGCAAACACGAAAGUGGACGUAUACGGUGUGACGCCUGCCCGGUGCCGGAAGGUUAAUUGAUGGGGUUAGCGGCAACGCGAAGCUCUUGAUCGAAGCCCCGGUAAACGGCGGCCGUAACUAUAACGGUCCUAAGGUAGCGAAAUUCCUUGUCGGGUAAGUUCCGACCUGCACGAAUGGCGUAAUGAUGGCCAGGCUGUCUCCACCCGAGACUCAGUGAAAUUGAACUCGCUGUGAAGAUGCAGUGUACCCGCGGCAAGACGGAAAGACCCCGUGAACCUUUACUAUAGCUUGACACUGAACAUUGAGCCUUGAUGUGUAGGAUAGGUGGGAGGCUUUGAAGUGUGGACGCCAGUCUGCAUGGAGCCGACCUUGAAAUACCACCCUUUAAUGUUUGAUGUUCUAACGUUGGCCCGUAAUC
This 1705-nucleotide ribosomal RNA is filed under the name Escherichia coli. RNAcentral's name for it is "partial 23S ribosomal RNA". It matches the Rfam family "Bacterial large subunit ribosomal RNA", at positions 551 to 2240 of the family's 2925-position model. Lineage: Bacteria; Pseudomonadati; Pseudomonadota; Gammaproteobacteria; Enterobacterales; Enterobacteriaceae. The record is from RNAcentral.